GUGGUUAAGUUACUAAGGGCACACGGUGGAUGCCUUGGCGCUAGGAGCCGAAGAAGGACGCAGCGAACUGCGAUAAGCCUCGGGGAGCGGUAAGCACGCUUUGAUCCGGGGAUCUCCGAAUGGGGCAACCCACCAUCUGUAAUGGGAUGGUAUCCUUCACUGAAUCCAUAGGUGAUGAGAGGGCAGACCCGGUGAACUGAAACAUCUAAGUAGCCGGAGGAAGAGAAAACAAUAGUGAUUCCGUCAGUAGUGGCGAGCGAACGCGGAAGAGCCUAAACCGUCGGGUUUACCCGGCGGGGUUGUGGGGCGUCUCACAUGGAGUUACAAAGG
Molecule: ribosomal RNA, 330 nt
Filed under: Brevibacillus agri
Lineage: Bacteria; Bacillati; Bacillota; Bacilli; Caryophanales; Paenibacillaceae
Description: bacterial LSU rRNA
Rfam family: Bacterial large subunit ribosomal RNA
Source: RNAcentral